CAUUAGAGGUUGUGUACAACUCUGGACCCACUUCCAUACAAUGACAGCAUUCGAAUGUGUGAAAGUGAGGCCAGUGUGGUAAACAACUUCUGCCU
Molecule: microRNA precursor, 95 nt
Filed under: Capitella teleta
Lineage: Eukaryota; Metazoa; Annelida; Polychaeta; Capitellidae
Description: microRNA cte-mir-2690 precursor
Source: miRBase by way of RNAcentral